Molecule: small RNA, 107 nt
Filed under: Marmota monax (woodchuck)
Lineage: Eukaryota; Metazoa; Chordata; Mammalia; Rodentia; Sciuridae
Source: RNAcentral
GCCAGGUGUGGUGGCUCACACGUGUAAUCCCAGCAGCUCAGGAGGCUGAGGCAGGGGGAUUGCAGGUUGGAGGCCAGCCUGGACAACUUAGCAAGACUCAGUCUCAA